UGUCUGAUUAGCUAGUUGGUGAGGUAAAGGCUUACCAAGGCUUCGAUCAGUAGCUGGUCUGAGAGGACGACCAGCCACACUGGGACUGAGACACGGCCCAGACUCCUACGGGAGGCAGCAGUGGGGAAUUUUGGACAAUGGGGGAAACCCUGAUCCAGCCAUGCCGCGUGAGUGAAGAAGGCCUUCGGGUUGUAAAGCUCUUUCAGCCGGAACGAAACGGUCACGGCCAAUACCCGUGAUCACUGACGGUACCGGAAGAAGAAGCACCGGCUAACUACGUGCCAGCAGCCGCGGUAAUACGUAGGGUGCGAGCGUUAAUCGGAAUUACUGGGCGUAAAGCGUGCGCAGGCGGUUUUGUAAGUCAGAUGUGAAAUCCCCGGGCUCAACCUGGGAACUGCGUUUGA
Molecule: ribosomal RNA, 404 nt
Filed under: uncultured Nitrosospira sp.
Lineage: Bacteria; Pseudomonadati; Pseudomonadota; Betaproteobacteria; Nitrosomonadales; Nitrosomonadaceae
Description: bacterial SSU rRNA
Rfam family: Bacterial small subunit ribosomal RNA
Source: RNAcentral